GCCUUCCGGGGGCCGGGUUUUUUGGGGACAAAAGUUAUUACAACUUUCAGCAAUGGAUCUCUUGGCUCUCGCAUCGAUGAAGAACGCAGCGAAUAGCGAUAUGUAAUGUGAAUUGCAGAUCUACAGUGAAUCAUCGAAUCUUUGAACCCACCUUGCGCUCCUCGGUGUUCCGAGGAGCAUGCCUGUUUGAGCGUCAGUAAAUUCUCAACUCCUCUCGAUUGGACUUCGAGUGGAGCUUGGAUGGUGGGGGCUGCCGGAGACCUGAAUAUUCGUGUUCGGGACUCGGGCUCCUCUGAAAUGUAUUGGCUUGCGGUCUGUUUUCGACUUUGCAUGACAAGGCUUUUGGCGUGAUAAUGAUCGCCGCUCGCCGAAGUGCAUGAAUGAAACCGUGCCGUGCCUCUAAUCCGUCGAUGCCUCUAUGGGGCGUCUUCUUUANGCAUUUGAC
This 445-nucleotide small RNA is filed under the name Suillus bovinus. Its description in RNAcentral is "eukaryotic LSU rRNA". The stretch from base 42 to 196 matches the Rfam family "5.8S ribosomal RNA". The record is from RNAcentral. Lineage: Eukaryota; Fungi; Basidiomycota; Agaricomycetes; Boletales; Suillaceae.